RNAcentral lists this transfer RNA (68 nucleotides) under chicken gut metagenome. It matches the Rfam family "tRNA". From Rfam's summary of the family: Transfer RNA (tRNA) molecules are approximately 80 nucleotides in length. The record is from RNAcentral.
CGGAUGUAGUUUAAUGGUAGAACCCAAGCCUUCCAAGCUUGCUACGUGAGUUCGAUUCUCAUCAUCCG